UACGGAAGGCAGCAGUGGGGAAUAUUGCACAAUGGGCGCAAGCCUGAUGCAGCCAUGCCGCGUGUAUGAAGAAGGCCUUCGGGUUGUAAAGUACUUUCAGUCGUGAGGAAGGUGUUAAGGUUAAUAACCUUAGCAAUUGACGUUAGCGACAGAAGAAGCACCGGCUAACUCCGUGCCAGCAGCCGCGGUAAUACGGAGGGUGCGAGCGUUAAUCGGAAUUACUGGGCGUAAAGGGCACGCAGGCGGUUAUAAGUUGGAUGUGAAUCCCCGGGCUUAACCUGGGAAUGGCAUUCAAGACUGGUUAGCUAGAGUCUUGUAGAGGGGGUAGAAUUCCAUGUGUAGCGGUGAAAUGCGUAGAGAUGUGGAGGAAUACCGGUGGCGAAGGCGGCCCCUGGACAAGACUGACGCUCAUGUGCGAAAGCGUGGGGAGCAACAGGGAUUAGAUACC
RNAcentral lists this ribosomal RNA (448 nucleotides) under uncultured bacterium. RNAcentral describes it as "bacterial SSU rRNA". It matches the Rfam family "Bacterial small subunit ribosomal RNA", at positions 340 to 786 of the family's 1533-position model. The record is from RNAcentral.